RNAcentral lists this ribosomal RNA (253 nucleotides) under uncultured bacterium. RNAcentral describes it as "partial 16S ribosomal RNA". It matches the Rfam family "Bacterial small subunit ribosomal RNA", at positions 524 to 776 of the family's 1533-position model. The record is from RNAcentral.
UACGAAGGGGGCUAGCGUUGUUCGGAAUCACUGGGCGUAAAGGGCGCGUAGGUGGCGACGCAAGUCAGUGGUGAAAGCUCGACGCUCAACGUCGAGUCGGCCACUGAUACUGCAUUGCUGGAGCACUGUAGAGGCAGAUGGAAUUCCGGGUGUAGCGGUGAAAUGCGUAGAGAUCCGGAGGAACACCGAAAGCGAAGGCAGUCUCCUGGCAAGUUUCUGACGCUCAGGUGCGAAAGCUAGGGGAGCGAACAGG